Lolium rigidum is the source of this 1080-nucleotide long non-coding RNA. RefSeq lists it as uncharacterized. The transcript is spliced from 3 exons. Lineage: Eukaryota; Viridiplantae; Streptophyta; Magnoliopsida; Poales; Poaceae. The record is from RefSeq and is a predicted model, not a curated record.
UGCCAGCAACAUACUCCUAGGACGACGGACACGCUCGAGCCCUGAACUCGGUAGGGGACCGGCGGGCGCCUGCUCCCUGGCCGCCAAUCUGCUCAUCAAGCGCCGCCUCCCAUCAUCCCCAACCGGAGCAAGUGGAAAGGCAUCCUAGCUUCUUGUCCAUCACCACUGUCACAACAGGAGAUUUGUCCAUUUUAAUGGGAGCAAGGAUACGAUUUCAUCUGAGAUGUCAGGAGCAUUGAUCUGGAUAUGGUUUGCCCGCUAAUGGCCAAGCUAGGCAGCUGUCCUAUAAGCCUUCUGAUUGCCAAUACAGGUUUCUUAAUUAUAAUAACUACACCGCCAAUGUGAAAAGUUAAUUUCAUGGUAUUACUAACUUUUAUCAUUUUGCUCUUAGUUUUCCUUACUCGUGAAAACAGUGUUAGCUAUACUGACAUUUGCAUGUUGUGAAAACUGUAGUUUGGUUGAUAUUCUGUCAAAUCUAUUCCUUGCACCGUUCCGUGUGGUCUUUAUGCUGUCAGCAUGUGCCGUCUUCUCAAAGACAUGCAUUGAAUUCUCUAUUUCAUCUGCCAAUGAUGUUUCUAAAUAGCUAGAGGUAAUAACAAACGUAUAUGUUGUAUUUAUGUUUUGAGCCAGAUAUAAAUUCAUACUACAGAUAGUAAACAUGAGACUGUGUACGAGGACAGAUUGCACUUUUCUAUUCAUUUAAACAAGUAUAUCGGAGAAAUAGUUCCUCAAAGUGAGAAUUUUAAGUAGUAACCUUUUCUGACGGAGGAACUAUUGCAUGAUUUUUAUUGUUACUGAACUUUCUUAUAUUAUUGAUGCCGAAACCUUUUUCUUGACAGAGCCCCUUUUGUAUUUUGUUUUCUGUUAAUAAACAAAGUCAUGUCUUUGUUUCCAGACAUCUCAUGGGUCUAUUCCAUUAGUUUCUUCCCAUCUGCUAAGAUUUCCUAACGACCUGACACAUGAUAUGUACGAUAAGUAUUAUUGUCUAUGCUCUAUUUUUUCUAAGUUGAACUAUGUUUGGGUUACUCCAAUGCAGAAGGAUAUUAUGGAAUUGUGAACUGACGAUUAAUAUUGCCGCCU